RNAcentral lists this transfer RNA (70 nucleotides) under Marmota monax (woodchuck). Its description in RNAcentral is "tRNA.Ala". Lineage: Eukaryota; Metazoa; Chordata; Mammalia; Rodentia; Sciuridae. The record is from RNAcentral.
UUGAAGAUGAAGCUCAGUGGUAGACCAUGUGUCUAGCAUGUUUAAGGUCCUGGGUUCAAUUCCCAGUAAA